UACAGAGGUCUCGAGCGUUGUUCGGAUUCAUUGGGCGUAAAGGGUGCGUAGGUGGCGUGGUAACGUCUGGGUGUGAAAUCCCGGGGCUCAACCCCGGAACUGCACUGGAUACUGCCAUGCUUGAGUACUGGAGAGGAGAUUGGAAUUUACGGUGUAGCAGUGAAAUGCGUAGAUAUCGUAAGGAAGACCAGUGGCGAAGGCGAAUCUCUGGACAGUUACUGACACUGAGGCACGAAGCCAGGGGAGCAAACGGG
This 254-nucleotide ribosomal RNA is filed under the name uncultured bacterium. Its description in RNAcentral is "partial 16S ribosomal RNA". It matches the Rfam family "Bacterial small subunit ribosomal RNA", at positions 524 to 776 of the family's 1533-position model. The record is from RNAcentral.